RNAcentral lists this ribosomal RNA (564 nucleotides) under Streptomyces sp. 415F02. RNAcentral describes it as "bacterial SSU rRNA". It matches the Rfam family "Bacterial small subunit ribosomal RNA", at positions 93 to 671 of the family's 1533-position model. Lineage: Bacteria; Bacillati; Actinomycetota; Actinomycetes; Kitasatosporales; Streptomycetaceae. The record is from RNAcentral.
UAGUGGCGAACGGGUGAGUAACACGUGGGCAAUCUGCCCUUCACUCUGGGACAAGCCCUGGAAACGGGGUCUAAUACCGGAUAACACUUCCACUCGCAUGGGUGGGGGUUAAAAGCUCCGGCGGUGAAGGAUGAGCCCGCGGCCUAUCAGCUUGUUGGUGAGGUAACGGCUCACCAAGGCGACGACGGGUAGCCGGCCUGAGAGGGCGACCGGCCACACUGGGACUGAGACACGGCCCAGACUCCUACGGGAGGCAGCAGUGGGGAAUAUUGCACAAUGGGCGAAAGCCUGAUGCAGCGACGCCGCGUGAGGGAUGACGGCCUUCGGGUUGUAAACCUCUUUCAGCAGGGAAGAAGCGAAAGUGACGGUACCUGCAGAAGAAGCGCCGGCUAACUACGUGCCAGCAGCCGCGGUAAUACGUAGGGCGCAAGCGUUGUCCGGAAUUAUUGGGCGUAAAGAGCUCGUAGGCGGCUUGUCACGUCGGGUGUGAAAGCCCGGGGCUUAACCCCGGGUCUGCAUUCGAUACGGGCUAGCUAGAGUGUGGUAGGGGAGAUCGGAAUUCCU